RNAcentral lists this ribosomal RNA (452 nucleotides) under uncultured Flexibacteraceae bacterium. Its description in RNAcentral is "bacterial SSU rRNA". It matches the Rfam family "Bacterial small subunit ribosomal RNA", at positions 28 to 490 of the family's 1533-position model. Lineage: Bacteria; Pseudomonadati; Bacteroidota; Cytophagia; Cytophagales; Cytophagaceae. The record is from RNAcentral.
GAUGAACGCUAGCGGCAGGCCUAAUACAUGCAAGUCGAACGGUGUCUUCGGACAUAGUGGCGCACGGGUGCGUAACACGUAUGCAACCUACCUUACAUUGGGGGAUAGCCUUUCGAAAGGGAGAUUAAUACCGCAUAAGACAGUAGCUGGGCAUCCAGCAGCUGUUAAAGAUUUAUCGAUGUAAGCUGGGCAUGCGUCCAAUUAGCUAGUUGGUGAGGUAACGGCUCUCCAAGGCUAUGAUUGGUAGGGGAACUGAGAGGUCAAUCCCCCACACUGGCACUGAGAUACGGGCCAGACUCCUACGGGAGGCAGCAGUAGGGAAUAUUGGGCAAUGGACGCAAGUCUGACCCAGCCAUGCCGCGUGCAGGAUGAAGGCGUUAUGCGUUGUAAACUGCUUUUAUACAGGAAGAAACGACUCUUGCGAGAGGCAUUGACGGUACUGUAUGAAGUAA